RNAcentral lists this long non-coding RNA (639 nucleotides) under Parus major (Great Tit). RNAcentral describes it as "lncRNA (ENSPMJG00000007572.1)". The record is from RNAcentral. Lineage: Eukaryota; Metazoa; Chordata; Aves; Passeriformes; Paridae.
GAAGUAAGGGGUGACCAAAAGGGCAGAUGCCCCGUCUGUGCUCUCUUCACAUAACCAAUGAGUUCCUCAUUUGCACAGACUCUGAAAAAGAAAGAAACUGAAAAUAGAAGCCAGGAAGAGGACUUUUGAUCAACCCUGAGCCUCAGUGUGACUGAACAUCACAGAUAAAAGACCUUUUCCCAGGCACAGGGAGUAGAAGCCCUGCUAGCUGAGCCAGGGAAAACAGAACCUCCUUCAGCAGAGACCUCUCAUCUGGGGUUGGCCACCAAGGCAGGGGAUACCCAAGGGAUGCUGGAAGUCAUUUCCCAGGCAUGGACGGAACACCCUAAUUUAUUACUGAAGACUUUUAAUAUGACAGAAAUCUUUCUCAUUACCAUUAAGAGAUUCUGCUUAGUCAACAGAUAUUCAUGGCCUUACAUGGAUCAGUAUUUAACAACUGUGGUUACAUGCCAACUCAGUAAUACACAUAUAUGGCUUUUAGUACCACAGCACUCAGCUGCCCCCUUCAACAAGGAAUGCUGCAAGCUGCAGAGCCAUGCUGACUAUCCUUAUAGCUCAAAGAAUCAACACAAAGAAGAACUUUGGCAAAAAGGAAUGUGUUUUUGCUUUUUCCUCGGUCCACAAGACAUGGUAACCUGA